UUUCCGUAGGUGAACCUGCGGAAGGAUCAUUAAUGAGUUGUCAUGGGGUUCGAUGCUGGCAGCCAGUUUUUGGAUGCAUGUGCUUGCCCUAACAAUCAUCUUCUUCCAAACACCUGUGCACAUUUUUGAGGGAGUCUUGAGUUGGUUGCCGCUCUUGGGUGAUUUUCUCACAUUCCCUUAAAUCAUUAUACGCUAUUAACAAUGUUGACCGUGCUCUGUGCCGCAAGGCCCUUAAUAUAAUACAACUUUUAACAACGGAUCUCUUGGCUCUC
RNAcentral lists this unclassified non-coding RNA (272 nucleotides) under plant metagenome. Its description in RNAcentral is "partial contains small subunit ribosomal RNA, internal transcribed spacer 1, and 5.8S ribosomal RNA". The record is from RNAcentral.